Molecule: non-coding RNA, 115 nt
Organism: Triticum aestivum (bread wheat)
Lineage: Eukaryota; Viridiplantae; Streptophyta; Magnoliopsida; Poales; Poaceae
Source: Rfam
CUACUACUCCCUCCGUUUUAAAUUGCUCGUCGCAUAAAUGGAUGUAUCUAGAACUAAAAUACAUCUAGUUACAUCCAUACGCACGACAAGUAAUUUGAAACGGAGGGAGUAUAUG